This 497-nucleotide ribosomal RNA is filed under the name uncultured bacterium. RNAcentral describes it as "partial 16S ribosomal RNA". It matches the Rfam family "Bacterial small subunit ribosomal RNA", at positions 28 to 507 of the family's 1533-position model. The record is from RNAcentral.
GAUGAACGCUGGCGGCGUGCCUAAUACAUGCAAGUCGAGCGAACGGACGAGAAGCUUGCUUCUCUGAUGUUAGCGGCGGACGGGUGAGUAACACGUUGAUAACCUACCUAUAAGACUGGGAUAACUUCGGGAAACCGGAGCUAAUACCGGAUAAUAUUUUUAACCGCAUGGUUCAAAAGUGAAAGACGGUCUUGCUGUCACUGAUAUAUGGAUCCGCGCUGCAUUAGCUAGUUGGUAAGGUAACGGCUUACCAAGGCAACGAUGCAUAUCCGACCUGAGAGGGUGAUAGGCGACACUGGAACUGAGACACGGUCCAGACCCCUACGGGAGGCAGCAGUAGGGAAUCUUCCGCAAUGGGCGAAAGCCUGACGGAGCAACGCCGAGUGAGUGAUGAAGGUCUUCGGAUCGUAAAACUCUGUUAUUAGGGAAGAACAUAUGUGUAAGUAACUGUGCACAUCUUGACGGUACCUAAUCAGAAAGCCACGGCUAACUACGUG